GUGGCUAGAUGGUUGUUUUAACCCUUUAGCGUCAGGAAUAUAUGUUUGUGUUCCUGACCCUAUAGCGCUCCUUUAAUUAUAUACCAGUUUUCAUGAAGAUAUGAUCCAGGGAAAUACUUUUUCAUGCUAGAAUAUAGGUUUACAUUUGUAAGUGUUUUGAGUUUGGUGUCUAGGCUUCACCCUGGAACAGGGGUGUAUUUACCGUGAGGC
Molecule: non-coding RNA, 210 nt
Organism: Pelobates cultripes (western spadefoot toad)
Lineage: Eukaryota; Metazoa; Chordata; Amphibia; Anura; Pelobatidae
Source: the annotation of a GenBank genome assembly